AAUUCCCCGUUUUACCGGGUAAAUGUGUAAAAAUUUGGAGGAAGGCCGGGGGGGAAGGGGGGCACUUUGGAAUUUUCCUGCCUCUGAGACUCGAAAGCGUGGGGAGCAAGCAGGAAUCGGUACCUUGUUAGUUCACGCCCUAAACUAUGGAUAAUAAGUGUCGAGGGUUACCGCCGGUGCCGCAGCUAACGCAUUAAGUAUUUCGCUUGGGAAGUACGGACGCAAGGUUGCAAGUCAAAGGAAUUGACGAGGUGCCGCACAAGCGGUCGAGCAUGUGGUCUAAUUCGACGCAUCGCGAAGAACCUUACCCAGGUUGGACAUGCACCUAGUAGAAGGGAGAAAGCCAGACGAGGUAGCAAUACCAGUGUGAUCAGGUGCUGCAUGGCAGUGGUCAGGUCAUGUCGUGAGGUGAGGGGUUAAGUUAAGCAACGAGCGCAACCCAUGCUUUCAGUCAGUAGCGGGUCAAUCAGAGCAUCUGUAAAAAAGGACUCAGCAUAAUAGGGAGGAAGAAGGGGAGGAUGAUCACAUGUCCACAUCGCCUAUAUGUGUGGGGCCACCCACGUGUUCCAAUGGCGGGUCCAAAGCGCUGCAAACCUGCAAAGGGGAAGCCAAUCGCAAAAAACCGGCCUCAGUUCAGAUUGAGGUCUGCAACUCGACCUCAUGAAGGCGGAAUCGCUAGUAAUCGCGGAUCAGCACGCCGCGGUGAAUACGUUCCCGGGCCUUGUACACACCGCCCGUCACACCACGAAAGCCUGUUGUACCUGAAGUCGCCCAAGCCAACCGCAAGGAGGCAGGCGCCCACGGUAUGGCCGGUGAUUGGGGGAAGUCGUAACAAGGUAGCCGUAGGGGAACCUGCGGCUGGUCCUCUACUGAGCUUGGAUC
This 882-nucleotide ribosomal RNA is filed under the name uncultured bacterium. Its description in RNAcentral is "bacterial SSU rRNA". It matches the Rfam family "Bacterial small subunit ribosomal RNA", at positions 665 to 1533 of the family's 1533-position model. The record is from RNAcentral.